UGGUUGAUCCUGCCAGUAGUGUAUGCUUCUCCUAAAGACUAAGCCAUGCAUGCCUUCGAAUACGAGGAAGCAAUUCUCUCUGAAUCUGCGAACGGCUCCGCAAACCAGUUGUAAACUAUAGCAAGCAAUCCGGGGGGUCGCCGUUAAAAAGCGGCCCUCCGGUAAUAAGGAUAACCAUGGUAAUUCUGAGGCUAAUACAAGAACGUAACCCCCGGACGACCCGCGAGGGAAAGCCGGGAGACGUACGAGUUUUACGCGAGGAGUUAUCGGGAAAGAACGUACGUCUGGACCGCGCCAAAGACGGAUGGAUCCCAUCAACCCUCACGGGUCGGGGUUCGCCCGAGCGGCUCUUGCAAUGCGCUUCUGACCUAUCAACUAGAUGGCAGCGUAAGGGACAUGCUAUGGUGACAACGGGUACAGAGGAUUAGGGUUCGAUCCUGGAGAGUGGGCCUGAGAGAUUGCUCAUACUUCUAAGGAAGGCAGCAGGCGCGCAACGUUCCCCUUGGGCAAUGCUUGAGGGCGUUAGGGGACAUAUGAAUGCCUGCCUUAUAGGUGGGCAAUUCAAAUGGGUCUGUUGUAAACAGGCUCUCGAGUAACAAUUAGAGGACAAGUCUGGUGCCAGCACCCGCGGUAAUUCCAGCUCUAAUAGCAUACGUUAAAGUUGUUGCGGUUAAAACGCUCGUAGUCGGCUCAAGGUCAUCAGAUUCGGCAGGGAGGGGCUCGGGACUUGCUGCCUUUCGGGGCGCGCCGGGUCAAUCCCAGCCGUUGGCGGUGGCCAAGUGCGCUCUCGGCCGUCCCUUCACCGGGUCACAGGGCUCCUCCCCCUCACGGGGGGGGCUGUCCGGCAGGGAGUGCCACUCACCAUGACCAAACUGGGUUGAUCAAACAAGGUCGCUCGAUCUUGCACAGCACAGCAUGGCAUGAAUCUAGCCGGUUCGAUCCUCUCGCGGGGGUCGGGCUGGCAGAAGCGAUAGGGGUGUUCGAGGGUGACCGAAUUGCCGGGCGAGUGGUGAAAUACGUUGACCCUGGCAAGUCGACCAAAGGCGAAAGCAGUCAUCAAGGGCACGCCCGUUGAUCAAGAGCGAAAGUUAAGGG
This 1095-nucleotide ribosomal RNA is filed under the name Didymium spongiosum. Its description in RNAcentral is "SSU rRNA". It matches the Rfam family "Eukaryotic small subunit ribosomal RNA", at positions 5 to 996 of the family's 1831-position model. The record is from RNAcentral. Lineage: Eukaryota; Evosea; Eumycetozoa; Physariida; Didymiaceae.